This 253-nucleotide long non-coding RNA is filed under the name Elaeis guineensis (African oil palm). RNAcentral describes it as "long non-coding RNA (EGUI_LNC027614)". Lineage: Eukaryota; Viridiplantae; Streptophyta; Magnoliopsida; Arecales; Arecaceae. The record is from RNAcentral.
GGGUAUUCUGAGUGCUUUUUGUUUCCAGAAGGUGGUCUGAUUCCGUAAACUUUUUUUGUUGCAAUUAUGUGAACUUUUGUGCAUUGUAGGAACCCUGCACCAUUUUAGUCCAUGAAAUGGCUGUUUUCCUUCUGCGGUUCUGCCUAAUGAUAUAUCUAAAAUAACAAAAGGCAUUGCAUCCUUUAAUCAUGCAAGGCCCUGUAGCUCUUGAAGCUCAUUAGGCUGCAACAGAAGCUUGGAUCUUGGGAGAGGA